GGGGGGCGGGGUCUGGCACGUCGUGACGCACUGCGGCGCGACGGCCGCGGGUUUGAUGAACGCGGUUCCCGGGGAGAUCGGUGCGGUUGCUGUGUGCUAUGGAGCCGAGGGUCGUCAAGCCACCGGGGCAGGAUUUAGUAGUGGAGAGUCUCAAAAGCCGCUACGGACUCGGGGGCAGCUGCCCCGACGAGUAUGAUUUUUCAAAUUUUUAUCAGUCUAAGUAUAAGAGAAGAACUCUAACCUCCCCAGGUGAUUUGGAUGUCUACUCUGGAGAUAAAGUUGGUUCAUCGUUAAAAUAUUCUGAUGAAAGCAAGCAUUGUAGAACACCAUUGGGCAGCUUAUUCAAGCACGUAAAUGUGAAUUGCCUAGAUGAUGAACUGGAUUCUUUCCAUGAUUUGAAGAAACAGGAAACAGAAGAAGAGUUAAUUGAAAAUGAUUAUAGAGUUAGUACCUCGAAAAUAACCAAGCAGUCUUUUAAAGAAAUAGAAAAAGUUGCCUUGCCAACUAAUACGACCUCAUCGAGACCUCGGACUGAGUGUUGUAGUGAUGCAGGUGACUCUCCUUUGAAACCUGUCAGCUGUCCAAAAUCUAAAGCAUCAGACAAGCGGAGUUUACUUCCACAUCAGAUCAGUCAGAUACAUGACGAAUUAUUUCAGAUACAUCUGAAAUUGCAGUGUGAAACUGCAGCACAACAGAAAUUUGCUGAAGAACUUCAAAAGCGAGAACGUUUUUUACUUGAAAGAGAACAACUGCUUUUCAGACAUGAAAAUGCCUUGAGUAAAAUUAAAGGUGUUGAAGAAGAGGUUCUUAAAAGAUUUCAAAUUAUAAAAGAGCAGCAUGAUGCAGAAGUUGAACACUUAACCGAAGUUAUUAAGGAAAAGAAUAAAGAAACCAAGAGACUGAGGUCCUCUUUUGAUGCAUUGAAAGAAUUGAAUGAUACCUUAAAAAAACAGUUAAAUGAAGCAAGUGAAGAAAAUAGGAAGAUAGACAUUCAGGCUAAAAGAGUUCAAGCUCGUUUAGAUAAUUUACAGAGGAAGUACGAGUUUAUGACAAUACAGAGAUUGAAAGGAAGUUCCCAUGCUGUUCAUGAAAUGAAAAGUUUAAAACAAGAAAAAGCACCAGUUUCAAAAAUUUACAAGGUACCACUUAAUGGGCAAGUUUAUGAACUUUUAACUGUCUUCAUGGACUGGAUUUCGGAUCAUCAUCUUAGCAAAGUGAAACAUGAAGAAUCUGGAAUGGAUGGUAAAAAACCACAACUCAAAUUUGCUUCCCAGAGAAAUGAUAUUCAGGAGAAGUGUGUAAAGCUUUUGCCUCUAAUGACAGAGCAGCUACAGUGGAUGCCAUUUGUGAAUAUCAAACUUCACGAGCCUUUUGUAAAAUUUAUAUAUUGGUCCCUAAGGCAGCUAGAUGCUGGAGCACAGCACUCGACUAUGACAUCAACAUUGAGGAGAUUGGGUGAAGACAUUUUUAAAGGAGUGGUAACUAAAGGAAUUCAGGAUAGUUCUCCACAGCAUUCUGUGGAGAAUAAACCAAAGACAGCUGCUUUCUUUAAGAGCUCCAAUUUGCCAUUGAGAUUUUUAUCAACCUUAAUUGUUCUCAAAACAGUCACUCAAGCUGAUUACCUGGCUCAGGCAUUUGAUUCUCUUUGUUUGGACUUGAAGACAGAAGAAGGAAAAACCUUGUUUUUGGAGUAUCAGGCUGUUCCAGUAAUAUUAAGUCAUCUAAGAAUAUCCAGUAAAGGACUCCUGUCUAAUGUUAUUGAUAGUUUGCUCCAGAUGACGGUGGAAUCUAAAUCCUUGCAGCCUUUCCUGGAAGCCUGUAGCAACUCUUCAUUUUUUCGUACUUGCUCUGUGCUGCUUCGAGCCCCUAAGCUUGAUCUUCAAAUACUGGAAAAACUCAGUAUUAUUUUACAGAAACUUUCCAAAAUCAAGAGUAAUAAGAAGCUCUUUGAACUUUUUACGAUUCAUCUGAUGCUUCAAGAAAUACAAAGGACAACAAACCCAGAGCAUGCAUUUCUCUGUAUUAAUCUAAAUUCAACUCUGUUCAAUCUGGGUUUAACAAAAUGUAACUCCCUGGUCUCCAGUGCAAGCCAUUAGACUGGCUAAUUUUUUAAUAUAGUAUAUGUGGUGCUUAUUUAUAAACAUGUAGAAAUUACCAAAGUAACUACAAUUCUACCAAGUAAAGUUAUCAGUAGCAUCAUUUAUCAUGAAAAAUAAAUAAUUUUUUUGAACUGUAAAAAUGAAAUCUGUAGAAGGUAUUGGAACUUCUGGAAUGUUUCAGUUCAGUUUCAGGAGUUAGAAGAAAUUUUCAAGAAACUAUUGGGCCUCUUCAAAAAAAUACCAGAAAAUGUGCCAUUUUUGAAGUAGAAACAGAAAGCCAUAAUGAAAGAACAGGCCAAGGUGAGAAUGGUGGAACCAUAGAAACUUAAAAAUGCAGAAGGCCAGGCACGGUGGCUUACGCCUGUAAUCCCAGCACUCUAGGAGGCUGAGGUGGACGGAUCACCUAAGGUCAGGAGUUCAAGACCAGCCUUGCCAACAUGGUGAAACCCCGUCUCUACAAAAAAAAAACAGAAUUAGCCAGGCGGUGAUGGGCACCUGUGAUCCUAGCUACUCGGGAGGCUGAGGCAGGAGAAUCACUUCAACCUGGGAGGCAGAGGUUCCAGUGAGCCGAGAUCACGCCAUUGCACUCCAGCCUGGGCAACAAAGUGAGAUUCUGUCUCAAAAAAAUAAAAAUAAAUAAAUAAAUAAAAUAAAAACGCAGAAGCCAAAGUGCACAUUAGAAACAAAAAAUAACUUCAUAAAAUAGGAUUAGCAUGACAAGAACAAACAAAAAGGUGUCUCGGAACUCGGAGUAUAUAGAGAUGGUACUCAUGAGAGUGGAUGGCAGAUACUAGGACAGAGCCUGGCACUUCUGCAUGGCAACAUUUGGUGUCUCUGAGGAAAAGAACAGAACAAGUAGAGCGGAAGCAAUAUUCAGAAAUAUAGUUGAAUAAAGAUUCUGGUGGCCAAAGAAAGAACUGCAUGUACAGAUUGAGAGGGCUCAUCAUGUUCCAGAAAAACCUAUGAGAAAAGGGUUCUAUAAUUAGAUGCAUCCUGGCCAAAUGGUAAGUUACAAGGAUAAAAGCACAAACAAAAGCCAGUUACUUAACAAGAAAGGAAAAACCAGACUAGCCUUAUAGAAUGCUGGAAGGUAAUAGGGAGCUCUAGAGGAGAAGAUUUUUAAUCCAAGAAUUUCUCCCUAGUGAAGAUGCCUUUCAUAAGUGAAGACAAUGGAGUGACAGCUUCAGACAUUCAAGCGUUGAGAAAUUAUACCACUGAUGUACUAUUCUGGAGAAAGAAAUGACUUAAAGAUUAAUCAACUAAGAGAUGAAAGAAAACAGUUUAUUAAAUCAACCUCAUAUCAAAAGCACUGAACACUGAAACAACUUAAACAUUAAAUAAUUAUAACUGUUUAUAAGAUGGAUUGAGAUGUUAAAUUCCUGAAAAGGAUAAAUAAUGGAAAAAGCAGCCCCCUCGCUCUUCCUUCCUCCAUCAUCAUGAUGUGUACAGUUGACUCCAUUUCUCACCCUGUCUUCUCACAAGUCUUUCAGGGUCAAGUGAUGUCAGGCCAAGAAACAAAAGCAAAAUUGUCUCAUUCCCCAGUGCAUUCAGAUGAAAACUGAUAAUAAAAUCAGGUACAGUUCCAAGAGGAGACACUGGAGAGGAACCACGCUGGGUCUGUAAGGAAUUGCAAAUGAGAUGGCACACAUAUUUAUGCUGUAUCAAGGUCACUGUCAUCUUAACCAUAUCAGACUGAAAAUGUCACCUCCAUCUGGACAGUCAGCAGGGUGGUGGACUAUAUCUAUUCUCCAGGUGCAGUGCAACUAAAAAUGUUAAGAGAACAUAAGCAUGUGGUUGAGCUGGUGGCAAAGUAAAACAGUUCCUUGGAGGCCAGACAUGAUAAGAAGCAAAUCCAAAGCAAAAGAAAAAAUUUUAAAAAACAGAAAUCAAUGAAAUUGAAAACAGGAAGUCAACACAACCAAAAGCUAUUUCUUUGAAAAGAUAAUAAAAUUAAUAAGCUUCCAGCCAGGCUAACUUAAAAAAACAACAACAACAAACAAAAACAAACAAACAAACAAAAAAAAACAAGAGAAGGCACAGAUUGCUAAUACCAAAAAUGAAAGAGGGGACAGUACUGUAGAUUCCAUGUUCAUAGAUAGGAAGACUCAAUAUUGUUAAGAUGUCUGUUCUUCCCAACUUGAUCUAUAGAUACAAUGGAAAUCCUAUUCAAAAUCCUAACAAGUUAUUUUGUGAGUACCAACUAACUUUCUCCCAUGAAUUAUGAACUUUCUUAAUGGCAUCCAGAAGGCUAAACUUCCUAGGUUUUCAUAGCUAGAGAGGAGCCAGGGAGGAGACAUCAAGGCCUGGCUUCAAAGCUUCGAAGGACAGGCUGACUCUCUUGUUAGAGUUUAAUGGAGCUGGUGACUUUAACUUGAAGGCAAUGCUCAUUUGCCAUUCUGAAAAUCCUAGGGCCCUUAAGAAUUAUGCUAAAUCUCCCCUGCCUGUACUCUAUAAAUGGAAGAACAAAGCCUGGAUGACAGCACAUCUGUUUACAGCAUCAUUUUCUGAAUAAGCCUGCUGUUGAGACCUACUGCUCAGAUAAAAAAAAAGACUCCUCUGAAAACAUUACCACUUACUAACAGUACACCCAGUGACCAAAGAGCUCUACCAUGGACAUGUACAAGAUUAAUUUUCCAUGCCUGAUAACAUAACAUCCAUUCUGCAGCCUGUGAACCAAAACGUAAUUUCAACUUUCAAGUCGAUUUGCUUCUCCAUAUAUACUUUAUAAUUCAUGGGAGAAGGUCAAAAUAUCAACAUUAACAGGAAUUUGGAAAGAGUUGAUUCCAAUACUCACGAAUGACUUUGAGGGGUUUAAGACUUCAGCGGAGGAAGUAACUGCCGAUGUGGUGGGAAUUGCAAAUGAACUAGAAUCAGAUGUGGAGCCUAAGAUGGCAUGGUCUUCCAAUAGAAGGCUGUUUCAUCUACAUUGAAAAUCUGUUGUGUAGUGUAGCCACUUCAUCAGUGGUCUUACCUCAGUCUUGUGGAGAACUUGCUGCAGCUUCUACACCAGCACUUGUUGCUUCAACUUGCACUUUUAUGUUAUGGAGAUGAUUUCUUUCCUAAAACCUCAUGAACCAACCUCUGCUAGCUUCAACCUUUCCUUCUGCAGCUUCCUCAGCCUUCAUAGAAUUGAAGAGAGUUAGGGCCUUGCUAUGGAUUAGGCUUUGGCUUAAAGGAAUAUUGUGGCUGAUUUGUAUCAAGACCACUAAAACUUUCUCCUUAUAAGCAAUAUGGCUGCUGUGUUUUCUUAUCAUUUGUGUGUUGUCUGGAGUAGCACUUUUAAUUUCCUUUAAGAACUUUUCCUUUGCUUUCACAACUUUGUAGUUUGGCACAACAGGCCUAGCCUUCAGCUUUUCUUGGCUUUGGACAUGCUAAACCCAACCAUUUCUAGCUUUUCAUUUAAAGUGAGAGAUGUGAGACUCUUCCUUUCACUUGGACACUUAGAGGGCAUUUUAAGGUUAUUAAUUUGCCUAAUUUCAGUAUUGUUAUGUCUCAGGAAAUGAAGAGAGAUCCAAGGAGAGGGAGAGAUGGGGGAUCAGCCAGUCAGUGGAGCAGUCAUAACACACAAAUUCAUCAGUUAAGUUUGCUGUCUUACAUGGGUGUGGUUCUUGGCAUCCUGAAACACUUACAAUAGUAACAUCAGAGAUUAUUGGCCAGGCACGAUGGCUCACUCUUGUAACCCCAGCACUUUGGGAAGCUGAGGCUAGAGGAUUGCUUGAGGCCAGGAGUUUGAGACCAGCCUGGGCAACAUAGCAAGACCCUGUUUCUACAAAAAGAGUAAAAACAGAAAUAAACCAGCCAGUCAUAGUGGCAGGCGCUUAUAGUCCUAGCAACUCAAGAAGCUGAGGCAGGAGGGUCACAUGAGCCCAGGAGUUGGAGGCUGCAGUGAGCUAUGAUCACACCAAUGCAGUCCGGUCUGGGCAACAGAGUGAGACCCUGUCUCAAAAAAAAAAAAAAAAAAGAAAAAAUAGAUUACUGGUUACAGAUCACCAUGACAGAUAUAAUAACAUAAUAGUAACAGAAAAGUUUGAAAAAUGCAAAUUACCAAAAUGUGAGCUCAUGGUUUUGGAGAAAAUGGUUCCAAUAGACUCACCAGAUGCAGGGUUGCCACAAAUCUUCAAUUUGUAAAAAACGCAGUAUCUGUGAACCACAGUAAAGGUGAAGUGCAACAAAAUUAGGUAUGCCUGUAUGGAAACGCAGAGCUCACACCCUUCUGAUGAACAGACAGAAGUGUCAGAUCCUUUUCUAUGCUAGCAAAGGAUUUUAAGGGUUUGGAAUUCUCUAAAAGUGUAAAGCUCUUAGGAGGGCGUUACUGGGCAAAGCAGUGCUUUAUCUCAUUCUCUUGUUUGCCUGUUCAAACUUCCCACCCAUUGUAGACCCACUUGCUGUGUUAUUGCAGGUUAAGCCCCCAAGACCCUUUUCUCUGACCUUUUCUGUUCACUUCCCAUCCCCUUUCCUUUUCAGGUCAUCCUCCAUGCCCUUCUGAUGUCCACACAUCUCUUCAUUUUCUUCUCAGGCCUCCUCUUUCUCUCACCAUCUAAGUUAUUGAAAUUCUUGAAAUCCUAAGCUGGCCUGGCACUGAGAGUGACAGCGUAUUUCAUGUAGGAACCUGUGACAAAGCUCCACAUAAUAAACAUCAGAAAGUCAAGGAUGAUGGUUUUGGCCAAGGAGCAAAUGACACAUGCCACAGCUCUCCUGGCAGGUCCCCUUUUCGAGAUUGUGUCCUCCCGGAUAGGACUCUCAAGCAGCUGCAACAGGCAUCUUCCAGCUGGGAAAGGCCACUUGACCUCUUUUUCUCUUUCGAAAGCCAGGCAGCUGUGAGUCCAGGCUUGUCACUCCUGGGUGCAGGCUCAGGAAUUGAAGGUAGGUCUGCCAAGCCACACACCCUCGUUGAAACACCUCUGCUCUGUGGCCAGGUUUUUCAGCCCCUCCCCACUCCCCAUCAGCAGUGGCUUCUGGAAUUUCCCUGUCUGUAGAAUGAGAAUAGUUACAUCAAAAUUUCUUCCCAAGGAGCUAAUUGGAAUAUUGUAAUACAAAUAUUUGCAGAGAAUUAAUACUGAGAGAUGCUAAAGGAGAAUUUAGCUCGUGUAAUUACUAAUCAGUGUCUCUUUUCCAGGUACUCUGUAAGGGAGCUGAAACUUCCAGCCUUUCUUCCUAUUCACAAACCCACCUUUACCCGCCCCCAAUGCUGGACUUUGGUUUUUCAUAUUGCUUUUGCAGAACUUUAAAGCAUUUGAAUCUUUCCCUGAUGAGUUUUUGUCCUGAGGGGCCAGUGCAGUUUUCUUGGCACUUUGUUUUCCUCUCAUAUAACUUUUCCCUGUCAAUAAGGCAUUUAGGCUGAGAGAAAAAGUUAUUGAGCAUGUGCAUCCAAAUUUGAGAUGAUUGUUAUUUCAUUACCUAAUGACUUUAACUUCUUUGAUACUGUGUUUGUCUUAUGAAUAUAAUGGCUUUCUCACUUUAAUGAAAAGUUAUACAAUAAAAUUGAAAAGUAAGUACUGUA
RNA transcript from Gorilla gorilla gorilla (western lowland gorilla), 7599 nucleotides. It is a transcript of the gene named coiled-coil domain-containing protein 138, with no coding region annotated. Lineage: Eukaryota; Metazoa; Chordata; Mammalia; Primates; Hominidae. The transcript has 18 exons. The record is from RefSeq and is a predicted model, not a curated record.